RNAcentral lists this ribosomal RNA (473 nucleotides) under uncultured prokaryote. RNAcentral's name for it is "bacterial SSU rRNA". It matches the Rfam family "Bacterial small subunit ribosomal RNA", at positions 338 to 823 of the family's 1533-position model. The record is from RNAcentral.
CCUACGGGAGGCAGCAGUGGGGAAUAUUGCACAAUGGGCGAAAGCCUGAUGCAGCAACGCCGCGUGAGGGAUGAAGGCCUUCGGGUUGUAAACCUCUUUUAGCAGGGAAGAAGCGAAAGUGACGGUACCUGCAGAAAAAGCACCGGCUAACUAUGUGCCAGCAGCCGCGGUAAUACAUAGGGUGCAAGCGUUGUCCGGAAUUAUUGGGCGUAAAGAGCUCGUAGGUGGUUCGACACGUCUGAUGCGAAAACCAGGGGCUCAACCUCUGACCUGCAUCGGAUACGGGCGAGCUAGAGUGUGGUAGGGGAGACUGGAAUUCCUGGUGUAGCGGUGGAAUGCGCAGAUAUCAGGAGGAACACCGAUGGCGAAGGCACGUCUCUGGGCCAAUACUGACACUGAGGAGCGAAAGCGUGGGGAGCGAACAGGAUUAGAUACCCUGGUAGUCCACGCCGUAAACGGUGGGCGCUAGUUGU